This 440-nucleotide ribosomal RNA is filed under the name uncultured bacterium. RNAcentral describes it as "partial 16S ribosomal RNA". It matches the Rfam family "Bacterial small subunit ribosomal RNA", at positions 338 to 795 of the family's 1533-position model. The record is from RNAcentral.
CCUACGGGAGGCAGCAGUGGGGAAUAUUGCACAAUGGGGGAAACCCUGAUGCAGCGACGCCGCGUGAGUGAAGAAGUAUUUCGGUACGUAAAGCUCUAUCAGCAGGGAAGAAAAUGACGGUACCUGCCGAAGAAGCCCCGGCUAACUACGUGCCAGCAGCCGCGGUGAUACGUAGGGGGCAAGCGUUAUCCGGAUUUACUGGGUGUAAAGGGAGCGUAGACGGCAGCGCAAGUCUGGAGUGAAAUCCCAGGGCUUAACCAUGGAACUGCUUUGGAAACUGUGCAGCUAGAGUGCAGGAGAGGUAAGCGGAAUUCCGAGUGUAGCGGUGAAAUGCGUAGAUAUUAGGAGGAACACCAGUGGCGAAGGCGGCUUACUGGACUGUAACUGACGUUGAGGCUCGAAAGCGUGGGGAGCGAACAGGAUUAGAUACCCUUGUAGUC